This is a long non-coding RNA of Mauremys reevesii (Reeves's turtle), 2741 nucleotides long. RefSeq lists it as uncharacterized. The record is from RefSeq and is a predicted model, not a curated record. Lineage: Eukaryota; Metazoa; Chordata; Testudines; Geoemydidae. The transcript has 3 exons.
UCUAGGCCGGGCUCCCUCUUAUGGGGAGGGCUAUGACAGAGAAUCCCCUUCAGAAACUGCUCCAGCUUGCAGCUAGUUUGGGGUUUUCCAGACCCUCCCCCCUCCGCUGGUGGGUGGGAACAGUCUUCUCAUUUCCAGCCUCAGCUGAGCCCUGGACCUAGGAUUCCAGAUUAAAAUGUCUCAGUAGCUCCUGGAAAUACAAGGCCUGGUACAUCAGCUGGGGAUCGCCUGACAAUGCCAGCAGGAGGACUACCCUGUGGACUCUCAAGCCCCUAAAAGCAAGACUGGGAGCGUCGUGAAUCGUGUGGGGAACUCCAUUUAAGGUGGUGUAGCUCGAUGACCUCACGGAGGCAACGGAUCAAAUAUAUCUGAACAGUGUGGAACAGACCUUUCUGCGGGGAAGACCGGGAGCGCGUCGUGAUCAAUGCGCACCUAGCAAUCGAGGCUGCCGGAAGCCAGAGCGUGGCCGGUGUUUUCUUUCUGACUCGCCGGACCGUGGCUGUGGCGAUACACGGACGUUCAGGGUGUGACCCCCCAAGUCAUUUGGCAGUGAGCGGUCCUGCUUGGGAGUCACAACAGCAAGGCAUUGUGAGGCACCCCACGCUGCAGGGGAGGUUGUGUAUUUGUGGUGAUUGUACAAGUUAUAAAGCUCUUCAUGUCACUAAAAUCCAGCUCAUCAGUUGGUUACCAUUCUUCCACUCAUUACUCCUGGGGGAAUUGGGCACCCCUGUGUGUGUGCAGAAUUUAUGUCCCUCGCAAAUUUCUUUGCUUCCCCAAAGAAAAAUGACUUUUUGAUAAGGAAGCUGCAAGAGCAAUCGUGCAGCCUUCCCAGCAGUACGUUUUGGUGUCCAGGGCAGCUGGCAGAGAGGUAAAUCGUUGUGGGGCAGGACUGGGGAAGACCUGGCUAGUAGCUCCUACCAUUUGCUGGGCUCAGCUGCUAGUCACAUCUGGGUUGGGGAGGAUGGGCCUUUCUCUUCCCCUGCACAGCAUCCCUGGUCAUGUCAGACCCACCCCCAGAUUUCUCCCCCAGCUGUAGGAAGUGCCACAUGCACAUCCCACCACCCCCGCAAUUCCUGCACCCAUCGCUCUUCAGCUGCAGGGGGAGAGAUCGCUGUAGAGGGAGCCGCUCCCCCUGUGUCCAACCCCAGGCCCACUCAUACCCAGACCCUCUUGCCGAGCCUCACCCCCUGCACUUAGAACUCCCUGAUGAGCCCCAUUUACCCAGCAUCUGGACCCCUCCACUGAUUUCUCCCCACACUCAGACCCCCUUCUGAGCUCUAUCCCCCCCACACCCAGACCCCCACCACAAUCACCUGGACACACCGCCCCCCCCCAGUCUCCCAUUACUGUUGCACCCAGAACCCUCCAACAAGCCCCUGUGCAUCCAGGUAUCCCCCCCUCCCCACAGCUGGAUCCCCCACUGAGCUGCCUGCAUCCAGUUUGCCCCACCCAGAACCCUCUCAGCCCACACCUGGAUCCCCCCACACUAAGUCCCUCUAGACUUGGACCCUGCCUUGCUGAGCCUGCCUGCCCACAGCUGAUGCACCUGGCAAGGAGGGGUAGGGCUCUGGGCCAUUUCUGGGCCAGGCUCUGUCCUUGUACUGUGUCAGGGUUGGGUGCAGCCUCACUGCUGAGUCCCGGGGGGAGCCACACAGUGAUCUCCUACCUCUAUGAGACCAGUGACCUGUGCUCCCCAAUGCCAUGCUGGAGCCUCUACAUUUAUUUGACAAAUGAAUUUUGCAGAUUUUUAAAAUAUCGUGUACAGAAUUUUUAUUCUUUUGGUGCAGAAUGUCCUCAGGAUUAACUUGUUCUAUACCUUUCAUUCUCCUUGUUUUGGAUACUAGCAUUCCAGGUACUGACCCCAGAAGGUACCUUUGUAAUUUGUACUGGGGCAAAAUAGAAAGGUCACUUGUCAAAAAUCCAAAUACAUAUCUGCUUUUGUCACAGGACGAGCGGUACUAUCGCAACAUGUGGAUUACCUCCUUUGCGUUGCCUGGGUGUUCAGUUCGGCCUGCCUUCCGAUUAUAACGUAGAGCAAUCCCAGGGCUGCUGCACUCCACCUCCUGGGACCAGGAGGUUACUUGUUUGAUGGGUUACCGAAGGCCUCAGUGGCUGGUCACAAAUCCCUGCGUUGACUCUCUGCCACCGGUCUGGUGUCUGUGACACAAGAAGAUGUUAAUGGCAACUGGCAAGGGGGGACAGAAACCUCCUGAGUUUGCGAUGAACAUUCUGGUUCUCCCAAAACAUCUGAGGUGAGGUCUCACCUGAAGGCCGGGGAAACACUAGUCAUUAAUAUUGUGGUCCAAUGUUGUACGGAUACUAUGUAAGGAGAUGUGUGUGUAUACUGGAAAAUGUGUUUAAACUCUGUAAGGCAUAUGUGUCUGGAUGUAAAUGUAGCAUUGUAAAAUAACAGAAUGCAUGCCUGAAGAGAUGUGAACUCUACAGAAAAAGAGCAGGCAGGCAAAAACAGGCCCUGGGGGAUUAUCCUGCCUCGGAGUAAAGACAAUGGAGGUCAGGGGUAUAUACAGAAGGCCCCCCUUCAUCCUGCACCUAGCAAGUGAAUGGAUGGCGUGGGUUGCAGGCUGACUCGGUCGAAAACCCUGCAGCAGACUUUGGGUGAGAGAAACAUCUUCAGCCAGGAGGUUAACCUGAUCACUUGUGUCUAGAAAGCGUGCUGUGAUUUUGGCUGUUUAGGUAAUGACUUGUUUCCGAUGGGCCUAUUAAACUCUGUUCUUCGUUUA